This 253-nucleotide unclassified non-coding RNA is filed under the name uncultured Rhodobacterales bacterium. Its description in RNAcentral is "contains 16S-23S intergenic spacer region". It matches the Rfam family "Bacterial small subunit ribosomal RNA", at positions 524 to 776 of the family's 1533-position model. The record is from RNAcentral. Lineage: Bacteria; Pseudomonadati; Pseudomonadota; Alphaproteobacteria; Rhodobacterales.
UACGUAGGGGGCAAGCGUUGUCCGGAAUUACUGGGCGUAGAGCGCGCGUAGGCGGAUUAGUAAGUCGGAGGUGAAAUCCCAGGGCUCAACCUUGGAACUGCCUUUGAUACUGCUAGUCUUGAGUUCGAGAGAGGUGAGUGGAAUUCCGAGUGUAGAGGUGAAAUUCGUAGAUAUUCGGAGGAACACCAGUGGCGAAGGCGGCUCACUGGCUCGAUACUGACGCUGAGGUGCGAAAGCGUGGGGAUCAAACAGG